AAUCCUUAUUGGAGAGUUUGAUCCUGGCUCAGGACGAACGCUGGCGGCGUGCCUAAUACAUGCAAGUCGAGCG
Molecule: ribosomal RNA, 73 nt
Filed under: Paenibacillus lactis
Lineage: Bacteria; Bacillati; Bacillota; Bacilli; Caryophanales; Paenibacillaceae
Description: partial 16S ribosomal RNA
Rfam family: Bacterial small subunit ribosomal RNA
Source: RNAcentral